Austrofundulus limnaeus is the source of this 752-nucleotide long non-coding RNA. RefSeq lists it as uncharacterized. Lineage: Eukaryota; Metazoa; Chordata; Actinopteri; Cyprinodontiformes; Rivulidae. The transcript has 3 exons. The record is from RefSeq and is a predicted model, not a curated record.
GACAUUAGCCAGAGCAGCUCGCGGCUUCUUCUUCUUCUUCUUCUUCUUGUUUAAAAUUGCGCCAGAAGUUUGCUCAUGAUAAAAAAAAAAAAAAAAAAACACCGCGCUGUUUUGCCGCUUCCUCACCGAGCGAGCGCACCUGCGAGUCUCCUCCGGUUAGCGGGGCGGAAGUAAGACCCAGCCUGCGGGACGCGGCGGCGGCGGCUCGGCGACUUGCCCCGCCGGGUUAGGGUGCAGGAGUUCCGGGCGUCACGCGCCGCCUCGAGCCGGGAGCCUGUUGAUUUCUGAGCAGCUGUCAUCCCGCGGCUCUCAUACCUCACGACAUGAUCAGCAGCAGCAGCGUCUAUGAGCAUACUCUCCCCCUGUGAACCAGCUCCACUCCUCUUGAUGCGCGGCGGAACAACUCCCAACGUCUCCCUUGAUGUGUCUAUAUCAAAUGAAUGUGGCCUAUUACAUACGUGAUGGAGUCAGCUGGGUGGCUUUGUGGACACAAAAAAGGGGGCCAGCGAGGGACCAUGAAAGAGACAUUGUCCACUGCGGACCGUACAGUUGCUUUGUAGAUAAAUGGAUUUUCAUGCUUAUCAAGUGGGACAGUGGCGUGAAUGAAAACUGUGGAGAAUGUGGAAUUAUACUCACUAUUCGCCCAAACGCACGGAGAUCUGUGGAUUCAAGUGUGUGGUCUGUUAUUGUCCGGCAGUAAGAGUUGUUUAGGUGCUACAUUUUAUUUUAAACACUUCAGUCAACCAUGUUAA